GACGAACGCUGGCGGCGUGCUUAACACAUGCAAGUCGAGCGGAAAGGCCCUUCGGGGUACUCGAGCGGCGAACGGGUGAGUAACACGUGAGUAACCUGCCCCAGACUUUGGGAUAACCCUCGGAAACGGGGGCUAAUACCGGAUACGACACAGCUUCGCAUGGGGUCUGUGUGGAAAGUAUUUCGGUUUGGGAUGGGCUCGCGGCCUAUCAGCUUGUUGGUGGGGUGAUGGCCUACCAAGGCGACGACGGGUAGCCGGCCUGAGAGGGGGAGCGGCCACACUGGGACUGAGACACGGCCCAGACUCCUACGGGAGGCAGCAGUGGGGAAUAUUGUACAAUGGGCGGAAGCCUGAUGCAGCGACGCCGCGUGAGGGAUGACGGCCUUCGGGUUGUAAACCUCUUUCAGCAGGGACGAAGCGUAAGUGACGGUACCUGCAGAAGAAGCGCCGGCCAACUACGUG
RNAcentral lists this ribosomal RNA (462 nucleotides) under uncultured bacterium. RNAcentral describes it as "partial 16S ribosomal RNA". It matches the Rfam family "Bacterial small subunit ribosomal RNA", at positions 28 to 507 of the family's 1533-position model. The record is from RNAcentral.